This 480-nucleotide ribosomal RNA is filed under the name Aerococcus urinae. RNAcentral describes it as "bacterial SSU rRNA". It matches the Rfam family "Bacterial small subunit ribosomal RNA", at positions 59 to 521 of the family's 1533-position model. Lineage: Bacteria; Bacillati; Bacillota; Bacilli; Lactobacillales; Aerococcaceae. The record is from RNAcentral.
AAGUCGAGCGAACCGACGAAGUGCUUGCACUUCUGACGUUAGCGGCGGACGGGUGAGUAACACGUAAGGAACCUACCGAUAAGCGGGGGACAACAUCCGGAAACGGGUGCUAAUACCGCAUAGGAAACACCACCUCAUGGUGGUGUUUGGAAAGACGGCUUUGCUGUCACUUAUCGAUGGCCUUGCGGUGCAUUAGCUCGUUGGUGGGGUAACGGCCUACCAAGGCAAUGAUGCAUAGCCGACCUGAGAGGGUAAUCGGCCACAUUGGGACUGAGACACGGCCCAAACUCCUACGGGAGGCAGCAGUAGGGAAUCUUCCGCAAUGGGCGCAAGCCUGACGGAGCAACGCCGCGUGAGUGAAGAAGGUUUUCGGAUCGUAAAGCUCUGUUGUAAGAGAAGAACAAAUUGGAGAGUAACUGCUCCAGUCUUGACGGUAUCUUACCAGAAAGCCACGGCUAACUACGUGCCAGCAGCCGCGGU